CCUACGGGAGGCAGCAGUGAGGAAUAUUGGUCAAUGGGCGGAAGCCUGAACCAGCCAAGUAGCGUGCGGGAUGAAUGCCCUACGGGUCGUAAACCGCUUUUGCACGGGGAUAACACCCUCCACUUGUGGAGGUCUGCAGGUACCGUGCGAAUAAGGGCCGGCUAAUUCCGUGCCAGCAGCCGCGGUAAUACGGAAGGCCCGAGCGUUAUCCGGAUUUAUUGGGCUUAAAGGGAGUGUAGGCGGGCGUUCAAGUCAGCUGUAAAAUCGCGCGGCUCAACCGCAGCCCGCAGUUGAAACUGUUGGCCUUGAGUUCACAAGAGGCAGGCGGAAUUCGUGGGGUAGCGGUGAAAUGCAGAGAUAUCACGAGGAACCCCGAUUGCGAAGGCAGCCUGCCGGGGUGCGACUGACGCUGAGGCUCGAAGGUGCGGGUAUCAAACAGGAUUAGAUACCCGUGUAGUC
This 459-nucleotide ribosomal RNA is filed under the name uncultured bacterium. Its description in RNAcentral is "partial 16S ribosomal RNA". It matches the Rfam family "Bacterial small subunit ribosomal RNA", at positions 338 to 795 of the family's 1533-position model. The record is from RNAcentral.